RNAcentral lists this unclassified non-coding RNA (341 nucleotides) under soil metagenome. RNAcentral's name for it is "partial contains 5.8S ribosomal RNA, internal transcribed spacer 2, and large subunit ribosomal RNA". The stretch from base 1 to 120 matches the Rfam family "5.8S ribosomal RNA", at positions 35 to 154 of the family's 154-position model. The record is from RNAcentral.
GAUGAAGAACGUAGCGAAAUGCGAUAAGUAGUGUGAAUUGCAGAAUUCAGUGAAUCAUCGAAUCUUUGAACGCACAUUGCGCCCUUUGGUAUUCCAAAGGGCAUGCCUGUUCGAGCGUCAUUUGUACCCUCAAGCUUUGCUUGGUGUUGGGCGUCUUGUCUCUAGCUUUGCUGGAGACUCGCCUUAAAGUAAUUGGCAGCCGGCCUACUGGUUUCGGAGCGCAGCACAAGUCGCGCUCUCUAUCAGCAAAGGUCUAGCAUCCAUUAAGCCUUUUUUUCAACUUUUGACCUCGGAUCAGGUAGGGAUACCCGCUGAACUUAAGCAUAUCAAUAAGCGGAGGA